GGCGAACGGGUGAGUAAUGCAUCGGAACGUGCCCAAUAGUGGGGGAUAGCCCGGCGAAAGCCGGAUUAAUACCGCAUACGACCUGAGGGUGAAAGCGGGGGAUCGCAAGACCUCGCGCUAUUGGAGCGGCCGAUGUCAGAUUAGGUAGUUGGUGGGGUAAAGGCCUACCAAGCCGACGAUCUGUAGCUGGUCUGAGAGGACGACCAGCCACACUGGGACUGAGACACGGCCCAGACUCCUACGGGAGGCAGCAGUGGGGAAUUUUGGACAAUGGGCGCAAGCCUGAUCCUGCCAUGCCGCGUGCGGGAAGAAGGCCUUCGGGUUGUAAACCGCUUUUGUCAGGGAAGAAACGCACUGGGCUAAUACCCUGGAGUAAUGACGGUACCUGAAGAAUAAGCACCGGCUAACUACGUGCCAGCAGCCGCGGUAAUACGUAGGGUGCAAGCGUUAAUCGGAAUUACUGGGCGUAAAGCGUGCGCAGGUGGUUGUGCAAGACAGAUGUGAAAUCCCCGGGCUUAACCUGGGAACUGCAUUUGUGACUGCACGGCUAGAGUGC
Molecule: ribosomal RNA, 556 nt
Filed under: uncultured Rubrivivax sp.
Lineage: Bacteria; Pseudomonadati; Pseudomonadota; Betaproteobacteria; Burkholderiales; Sphaerotilaceae
Description: bacterial SSU rRNA
Rfam family: Bacterial small subunit ribosomal RNA
Source: RNAcentral